GAAGUACGAUCGUGCAAAGAACGUUCAAUCGGCAAGGGAAACACGUCAAGUGUAUGUGACUGAGAGGAUGGGAAGGAGGAGGCAGGCAACGUGGUCGGGUGGGUUAGCAAGUUCUACUAAACUAAACACUCGUUUCAAAAAUGACAACGGAUUCUCCAGAGAGCAACGAAGGGCACCUGAGUCGAAAAUGUGUGAGGAUAAGUGGUCGGAA
Caenorhabditis elegans is the source of this 211-nucleotide non-coding RNA. NCBI's taxonomy places the organism in Eukaryota, Metazoa, Nematoda, Chromadorea, Rhabditida, Rhabditidae. The record is from Ensembl.